GAGGUCCUAGCUUAAUGAAAGCGUCUGGGUUGCAUUCAGGAGAUGUGGGUUAAUGUCCUACGGAUCUUA
Molecule: transfer RNA, 69 nt
Filed under: Eupsittula pertinax chrysogenys (Brazilian brown-throated parakeet)
Lineage: Eukaryota; Metazoa; Chordata; Aves; Psittaciformes; Psittacidae
Description: tRNA-Ala
Rfam family: tRNA
About the family: Transfer RNA (tRNA) molecules are approximately 80 nucleotides in length. Their secondary structure includes four short double-helical elements and three loops (D, anti-codon, and T loops). Further hydrogen bonds mediate the characteristic L-shaped molecular structure. tRNAs have two regions of fundamental functional importance: the anti-codon, which is responsible for specific mRNA codon recognition, and the 3' end, to which the tRNAs corresponding amino acid is attached (by aminoacyl-tRNA synthetases). tRNAs cope with the degeneracy of the genetic code in two manners: having more than one tRNA (with a specific anti-codon) for a particular amino acid; and 'wobble' base-pairing, i.e. permitting non-standard base-pairing at the 3rd anti-codon position.
Source: RNAcentral